Molecule: long non-coding RNA, 412 nt
Organism: Malania oleifera
Lineage: Eukaryota; Viridiplantae; Streptophyta; Magnoliopsida; Santalales; Ximeniaceae
Exons: 2
Source: RefSeq, a predicted model, not a curated record
UUAAAUGACUUUCCUUAUAAAUUUCUUGGCCCGUGAGUUAUAAAUUCUCGGAGAGCAAACAACAUCCAUGCAUAUCUGCACUAUCGCAAACAUGAAGACUUCAUCCCCUCUCCUCGUCCUCCUUGUGUUUAUCUUCCUCGCUUCUAGUACUCCGGGGAAUGUAGCUCAAAGCGACUGCCUCAUCAUACACCCCUUACCGAAUUGCAGUCAUUCUUCAUGCAACUCCUACUGCUUUUUUAAACUUGUUGGUAUUCAACAUCUUGGCAGAUGUCUCGCCAACGGAAACUGUUGUUGUUAUUGAUUGAAGAAAAUGUUUUGAUGUUCAAAUAAGAAUUAAUAAAAGAGAUGGACUGGGCAAUAAUAUAAUUCGAAAAAAUAGAUUUCUUCAUAGCUCAUUCUGAAUCAAAGAAAA